GCUGCGUGCUUAACACAUGCAAGUCGAACGCUGAAGCCUGGUGCUUGCACCGGGUGGAUGAGUGGCGAACGGGUGAGUAACACGUGAGUAACCUGCCCCUGACUUCGGGAUAAGCCCGGGAAACUGGGUCUAAUACCGGAUACGACUGCCGGACGCAUGUCUGGUGGUGGAAAGUUUUUUCGGUUGGGGAUGGGCUCGCGGCCUAUCAGUUUGUUGGUGAGGUAAUGGCUCACCAAGACGACGACGGGUAGCCGGCCUGAGAGGGCGACCGGCCACACUGGGACUGAGACACGGCCCAGACUCCUACGGGAGGCAGCAGUGGGGAAUAUUGCACAAUGGGGGAAACCCUGAUGCAGCGACGCAGCGUGCGGGAUGACGGCCUUCGGGUUGUAAACCGCUUUCAGCAGGGAAGAAGCGCAAGUGACGGUACCUGCAGAAGAAGUACCGGCUAACUACGUGCCAGCAGCCGCGGUAAUACGUAGGGUACGAGCGUUGUCCGGAAUUAUUGGGCGUAAAGAGCUCGUAGGUGGUUGGUCACGUCUGCUGUGGAAACGCAACGCUUAACGUUGCGCGUGCAGUGGGUACGGGCUGACUAGAGUGCAGUAGGGGAGUCUGGAAUUCCUGGUGUAGCGGUGAAAUGCGCAGAUAUCAGGAGGAACACCGGUGGCGAAGGCGGGACUCUGGGCUGUAACUGACACUGAGGAGCGAAAGCAUGGGGAGCGAACAGGAUUAGAUACCCUGGUAGUCCAUGCCGUAAACGUUGGGCACUAGGUGUGGGGGGCAUUCCACGUUCUCCGCGCCGUAGCUAACGCAUUAAGUGCCCCGCCUGGGGAGUACGGUCGCAAGGCUAAAACUCAAAGGAAUUGACGGGGGCCCGCACAAGCGGCGGAGCAUGCGGAUUAAUUCGAUGCAACGCGAAGAACCUUACCAAGGCUUGACAUACACCGGACCGUCCUGGAAACAGGUCCUCUUCUUUGAAGCUGGUGUACAGGUGGUGCAUGGUUGUCGUCAGCUCGUGUCGUGAGAUGUUGGGUUAAGUCCCGCAACGAGCGCAACCCUCGUUCUAUGUUGCCAGCAUGUGAUGGUGGGAACUCAUAGGAGACUGCCGGGGUCAACUCGGAGGAAGGUGGGGAUGACGUCAAAUCAUCAUGCCCUUUAUGUCUUGGGCUUCACGCAUGCUACAAUGGCUGGUACAGAGAGAGGCGAACCCGUGAGGGCAAGCGAAUCCCUUAAAGCCAGUCUCAGUUCGGAUCGUAGUCUGCAAUUCGACUACGUGAAGUCGGAGUCGCUAGUAAUCGCAGAUCAGCAACGCUGCGGUGAAUACGUUCCCGGGCCUUGUACACACCGCCCGUCAAGUCACGAAAGUCGGUAACACCCGAAGCCGGUGGCCUAACCGUAAGGAGGGGGCCGUCUAAGG
This 1417-nucleotide ribosomal RNA is filed under the name Brevibacterium casei. Its description in RNAcentral is "bacterial SSU rRNA". It matches the Rfam family "Bacterial small subunit ribosomal RNA". The record is from RNAcentral. Lineage: Bacteria; Bacillati; Actinomycetota; Actinomycetes; Micrococcales; Brevibacteriaceae.